This 488-nucleotide ribosomal RNA is filed under the name Debaryomyces hansenii. Its description in RNAcentral is "eukaryotic LSU rRNA". It matches the Rfam family "Eukaryotic large subunit ribosomal RNA", at positions 54 to 547 of the family's 3401-position model. Lineage: Eukaryota; Fungi; Ascomycota; Pichiomycetes; Serinales; Debaryomycetaceae. The record is from RNAcentral.
GGAAAAAGAAACCAACAGGGAUUGCCUUAGUAACGGCGAGUGAAGCGGCAAAAGCUCAAAUUUGAAAUCUGGCACCUUCGGUGUCCGAGUUGUAAUUUGAAGAAGGUAACUUUGGAGUUGGCUCUUGUCUAUGUUCCUUGGAACAGGACGUCACAGAGGGUGAGAAUCCCGUGCGAUGAGAUGCCCAAUUCUAUGUAAAGUGCUUUCGAAGAGUCGAGUUGUUUGGGAAUGCAGCUCUAAGUGGGUGGUAAAUUCCAUCUAAAGCUAAAUAUUGGCGAGAGACCGAUAGCGAACAAGUACAGUGAUGGAAAGAUGAAAAGAACUUUGAAAAGAGAGUGAAAAAGUACGUGAAAUUGUUGAAAGGGAAGGGCUUGAGAUCAGACUUGGUAUUUUGCGAUCCUUUCCUUCUUGGUUGGGUUCCUCGCAGCUUACUGGGCCAGCAUCGGUUUGGAUGGUAGGAUAAUGACUAAGGAAUGUGGCUCUACUUC